Molecule: ribosomal RNA, 500 nt
Filed under: uncultured bacterium
Lineage: Bacteria
Description: partial 16S ribosomal RNA
Rfam family: Bacterial small subunit ribosomal RNA
Source: RNAcentral
AUUGAACGCUGGCGGCAGGCCUAACACAUGCAAGUCGAGCGGAUGAGAAGAGCUUGCUCUUCGAUUCAGCGGCGGACGGGUGAGUAAUGCCUAGGAAUCUGCCUGGUAGUGGGGGACAACGUUUCGAAAGGGACGCUAAUACCGCAUACGUCCUACGGGAGAAAGCAGGGGACCUUCGGGCCUCGCGCUAUCAGAUGAGCCUAGGUCGGAUUAGCUUGUUGGUGAGGUAAUGGCUCACCAAGGCGACGAUCCGUAACUGGUCUGAGAGGAUGAUCAGUCACACUGGAACUGAGACACGGUCCAGACUCCUACGGGAGGCAGCAGUGGGGAAUAUUGGACAAUGGGCGAAAGCCUGAUCCAGCCAUGCCGCGCGUGUGAAGAAGGUCUUCGGAUUGUAAAGCACUUUAAGUUGGGAGGAAGGGCAGCUAGCGAAUACCUGGUUGUCUUGACGUUACCGACAGAAUAAGCACCGGCUAACUCUGUGCCAGCAGCCGCAGUAA